Molecule: small RNA, 28 nt
Filed under: Bombyx mori (domestic silkworm)
Lineage: Eukaryota; Metazoa; Arthropoda; Insecta; Lepidoptera; Bombycidae
Description: ovarian small RNA-25281
Source: RNAcentral
UCACGCCAAGCAUGUACCGCAAGUCCAU